CACGGGUGCGUAACGCGUAUGCAACCUACCUCAUACUGGAGAAUAGCCCUUGGAAACGAGGAUUAAUGCUCCAUAGUAUCACAGAUUCGCAUGUUUUUGUGAUUAAAGAAUUUCGGUAUGAGAUGGGCAUGCGUCCCAUUAGCUUGUUGGUGAGGUAACGGCUCACCAAGGCAACGAUGGGUAGGGGGCCUGAGAGGGUGACCCCCCACACUGGUACUGAGACACGGACCAGACUCC
RNAcentral lists this ribosomal RNA (237 nucleotides) under uncultured bacterium. RNAcentral's name for it is "partial 16S ribosomal RNA". It matches the Rfam family "Bacterial small subunit ribosomal RNA", at positions 102 to 339 of the family's 1533-position model. The record is from RNAcentral.